GCGUUCUCUUUUCUCUGCGAGCCUGACACAGACAGGCGUCAGUAAGUCGCCAUGCCGGUUGCCAGGAGUUGGGUUUGUAGUAAGACAUACGUCACCCCCAGACGUCCCUUCGAGAAAUCGCGUCUCGACCAGGAGUUGAAACUCAUUGGCGAGUAUGGCCUCAGGAAUAAGAGAGAAGUCUGGCGGGUAAAGUUCACUCUGGCCAAAAUCCGCAAAGCUGCCAGAGAGCUUCUCACUCUGGAUGAGAAGGAUCCGAAGCGUCUCUUCGAAGGCAAUGCUUUGCUCAGGCGUCUGGUGCGCAUUGGUGUGCUGGAUGAGGGCAAGAUGAAGCUUGAUUACAUUUUGGGCUUGAAAGUGGAGGACUUCUUGGAGAGGAGGCUGCAGACUCAGGUCUUCAAGCUUGGUCUGGCCAAGAGCAUCCACCACGCUCGUGUGCUCAUCCGUCAGAGGCACAUCCGGUAAGAUGCUAAAUGCAUAUAGUUCAGGACUUUUAACCAUGUAAUCUGCACAUUGAAUGUGUAUUGAGGUUUUCUUCCUCUCUCAUUAGUUGACCGUGUUUAAACUUCUCCUGGUGAGAGGGAAUGAAAUAUUCUGCAAGGUCAAUUCGGUGAUUAAACCGUAUACCUUUGCUUAUUAAAAAAAUAAGCCCAAAAACCACAGGUUCCCAUGACGUCUGGGGUGCUUUUAUCGCACAAAACAGAGUCUACCAGGGUGCGUAAGCAGGUCGUGAACAUCCCCUCCUUUGUGGUGAGGCUGGACAGCCAGAAGCACAUCGACUUCUCUCUCCGCUCUCCAUACGGUGGUGGCCGCCCUGGCCGGGUCAAGCGAAAGAAUGCCAAGAAG
Molecule: RNA transcript, 843 nt
Organism: Carassius carassius (crucian carp)
Lineage: Eukaryota; Metazoa; Chordata; Actinopteri; Cypriniformes; Cyprinidae
Gene name: small ribosomal subunit protein uS4
Exons: 6
Source: RefSeq, a predicted model, not a curated record